Molecule: unclassified non-coding RNA, 294 nt
Organism: Macaca fascicularis (crab-eating macaque)
Lineage: Eukaryota; Metazoa; Chordata; Mammalia; Primates; Cercopithecidae
Rfam family: Metazoan signal recognition particle RNA
About the family: The signal recognition particle (SRP) is a universally conserved ribonucleoprotein.
Source: Ensembl
CUGGAGUGCAGUGGCACACACCUGUAGUCCCAGCAGCUCAGGAGAUUGAGGUAGGAGAAUCGCUUGAGUUCAGGAGUUCUGGGCUAUAAUGUGCUAUGCUGAUUGGGUGUCUGCACUAAAUUCCGCAUCAGUAUGGUGACUUCCCAGGAGUGGGGAACCACCAGGUUGCCUAAGGAGGGGUGAACCAGCCCAGUUCAGAAAUAGUUAAAACUCCCAUGCUGAUCAGUAGUGAGAUUGCAUCUGUGAAUAGCCACUGCAGUCCAACCUGGGCAACAUAGUGAGACCCCAUCUCUA